Mus musculus (house mouse) is the source of this 1562-nucleotide long non-coding RNA. RefSeq annotates it as predicted gene, 17344. The transcript has 3 exons. The record is from RefSeq and is a predicted model, not a curated record. Lineage: Eukaryota; Metazoa; Chordata; Mammalia; Rodentia; Muridae.
GCCGGAGUAGAAUUGUGGGAGGCUGGCGCCACUGCAGGCGGAGUAAGCCUCUGCUGCGCUCCACCCUGAGCUCCUAGGACCAGGGCGCAGGGAGAGCAAUUUGGUACUUUCUGGAUCCUCCAAGAAGCGGCCAGAGGAAGUGACAGUCUACAAAUGGACUACUUCUUGGAAACAGGGUUCCACUACGUUGACCAGGCUAGCCCCGAACCCUUCAGUUCAAGUGAUGCUGAUUCAAGCUCCCAGGUACUGAGGACUACCGGGCACGUGCUGCCAUGCCUGGCUCCACAAUGUAUUUAAUCCUAAAGGAGGUUAGAAAGAAGAAAACAUGGAGAAAAGCGGCCACUCAGUGAGAAGGAAGGAAAUGCAGCACAAGCAACAAGUGUCCUUCAGGGACAAAAAGGACAUGUCACUCAGGUGCCAGAGGUGGGUACAGCAAGGCUCUUGCUCACCUCAUGUGGUCAUACUUCUUAAAAAGUGCGUUGUACUCUACUGCCCUCUGCUGGAGCUCUACGUCGAUGCUGCUCCCAUAGAUGGAAACCACUUUCUUAAUUCGGCUGUGGGACAGAUAAUAGGAUAAAUGAAAUCAAUCAUUCAAAACACAAAAUUUAUAAGGAGCAGUGAAGAUGAUCAAAACAGAGUUUCUUGGUUAAAUUUCUGAUUUCUCUAUGUUUCCUUAAUUCAAAUUGUGUUUCAAGAACAACUAUAAUUCCCUUAUCUCUAUUCACUCAUUUAUCAAUAUUGUAAUUGUAAUGAGAAACUUCUACCUAGGUAUUUAUUCCCCAUCCUCAAGCUUACUGGAGGUGUGGGAACACAGCUUACUGGUGCAGUGCUUGCCCAGCAUGUGAGGACUGACGUCCAAUCUCCUCAUUGAGACCCUUGCAAACAAAAGCACCCAUCACUUUGCCACAAAGAAAUGGAUAUUGUCCAAUUCUCUUUCUUAGUAACUUUGAAAAUGAGGUUUUAGCAUUAGCGUGCUCACUACAAUCCUUGUAGCAAUCUAAACACUAAAUAAUUACACUUCUCACAAAGCUAUCUGGCUCAUAGGUUGUGGCCACUUUGAAAAUGAAACGGAAAAGUCCAGGAAAACUGACUCAAAUCAAUUUUUGCUCAAAAUAGCACCAAUUAAAACUCAAAAGAUUUAAACACACACACACACCCCCCACAAAGACACUCACACAAAUCUGGAUUUUAUUCCUACACCAACAUCUUCGAAUAUAAUAAACCAAGGCAGGCAUAGUGCUGCACGCCUUUAAUCCAGCACUGGGAGGCAAAAGCAGACAGAUCUCUGAGUUUAAGGCCAGCCCAGUCUACAGAGAAAGUUCUAGAACUAUCAGGGCUACAUGGAGAAACCAUUUCUCAAAAAACAAACAAACAAAAAAAGCCCAAUAAACCACAAAUGUUAGAAACUAUACUAUAAAACUAUACUAUAAAAAUACUGCAAAAUAAUGCACAGUAGGGAGAGACAAUGACAAAACAAAAUACUGACACAAAAGAAAGAUGAGCAAUGAACUGAUCAUUCUGUGUGUGGUACUAAGUAAAUUAAAACUCAUUUGACUAUUGUC